CUGAAGUGGCAAUGAACCUAUCUUUAUUUGUCCACGUGUAAUAAGCUUUUUUCUUUUAUUUUUCUUUUCCUUUUAUUAGUUUUCAUAUGUAAUUUAACGAUUGUACAACCAUAUUCUCUCGUUUGAAAUUCUUAAGCAUAUUUCAUCAUUUUAUUCAAGGAUCAUUUCCUCAAGAGUUCUCUUCCCUCAAAAUCUCAAAUCAAAGCUCUAGAUUUGUCAUUCAAUAACUUCAACCUUAUCUCGUUGCCGUUACUUUCCAACGAAUCCUGGUUAGCAAAAAAUGCCAUCAUUGUCAUUGGAGGCUUCUAAUAGCUUAAAGCAGAUGAUCAAAGCUAAACUUAUCUGGUUUUUCCUAGUCAAUGCUAAAAAAACAGAAUCAUAUAUGUGAGAGCUCAAUUAGUACCUAACUCUCCAUUGUAAUCAAGAAUCUCAAGUGCAAAAUCAAAGUAACAGGGGCUCAAAAGUCUCACAACCGAUAGUAACACAAUCAUAUGUGGGAGUAAACGCACGCAGGGUGUUUGUAAUUAUGUCUGAGAGAACACCAUUUGAAAAAAUCAAUUUUGUUGGAGGCGUAAAGAGUUCUGGCGCAGAAUUUGAAUGAUUAAAGGCUCUGACAGAGGAAUUGAAUUUGGGUCUAGAUUUUAUUGGCGGUUGAAGCAUUAAGGAAUCUCAUUAACGUCGACGAUAGAGACUAGAUGCAGCGGCGAAAUUGGGAAGGAGGAGAAGACGUCACAACUUGCAAGGAGGAGCCAACUCGUGACUCAACUGCGAUUCCUACUGUUGCAGAAGAACUGGUAAGACAAGGAUGACGAUGUUGUCGUGGUUGUUGUUGCUUCAAUGGCAACAGGGACUGGUUCAACAAAAAUGAGCCAAUUGAUUCGAUUUUAUUUUAUUUUUUAAGUGGAUUUGAUUUAGCUUGAAAGAGUACUGCUUAUUUAUGAGAAGGAAAGGGAAGAACAAAAGAACAAGAAAAGAAGGAAGGAAAGAAAAAGAACAAGGAAUAAGGGAAGGGAAGAAGGAAAGAAAGAAAAAGAGAAUUGAAGGUGAUGUGUAUUGAGUCCCAUAUUAUUUUUGCCAACUCGGUUGCACUCGGCCAAGUGUAUUGCCUCUCAGGGGAUAAUAGCUGAUUAAUCAUUAAUGACAUCUUUCGCAAGAUAAUAUUAAUUUAUCACGUGAGACGUGGGCAUCUUGAAAAACAGAAAAAUCCAAGAAUGGGGAAGUACACGUGGCGAAAAUCUGGUGGUAUUAGGUCACCGUCUGCAUGGAAGAAAACAUACGUAGGUUCCGGUGAUGGGGGCCUUAUCGGAGUGACAUAGUGCCACGUGUUCUCGAUCCACAGUGUUUUUUUUUUUUUGAUUGAUACCCUACGACGCGUGUGUAUUGUGUGACUGGUUCUCCACCACUACCUAAUUUUUGUGGGGUCUCUGAUAGAUUGUCCUUUUGGCCGACACUUCUCACCAAAAUGGAAAAGUUUAUUUUAUAUAUAAAUAUAACCCCUUUUUGCACGCCA
Molecule: long non-coding RNA, 1510 nt
Organism: Ricinus communis (castor bean)
Lineage: Eukaryota; Viridiplantae; Streptophyta; Magnoliopsida; Malpighiales; Euphorbiaceae
Exons: 2
Source: RefSeq, a predicted model, not a curated record